Molecule: non-coding RNA, 30 nt
Filed under: Mus musculus (house mouse)
Lineage: Eukaryota; Metazoa; Chordata; Mammalia; Rodentia; Muridae
Source: RNAcentral
UGCAAGUUUCCAUAUUUGCUGAUAGAGGUA